This 638-nucleotide ribosomal RNA is filed under the name Radopholus similis. RNAcentral describes it as "SSU rRNA". It matches the Rfam family "Eukaryotic small subunit ribosomal RNA", at positions 1003 to 1664 of the family's 1831-position model. The record is from RNAcentral. Lineage: Eukaryota; Metazoa; Nematoda; Chromadorea; Rhabditida; Pratylenchidae.
GGCGAUCAGAUACCGCCCUAGUUCUGACCGUAAACGAUGCCAACUCGCGAUCCGCCGGCGGAGCAUUUCGCCCUGGCGGGGAGCGUCCCGGAAACGAAAGUCUUCCGGUUCCGGGGGAAGUAUGGUUGCAAAGCUGAAACUUAAAGGAAUUGACGGAAGGGCACCACCAGGAGUGGAGCCUGCGGCUUAAUUUGACUCAACGCGAGGAACCUCACCCGGCCCGGACACCGUAAGGAUUGACCGAUCGACAGCUCAUUCAUGAUUCGGUGGUUGGUGGUGCAUGGCCGUUCUUAGUUCGUGGAUUUGAUCUGUCUGCUUUAUUGCGAUAACCGAGCGAGACCCACGCCUGCUAACUAGUCAGUGCAUUGCCAUUGUGCGCGCCGACUUCUUAGAGGGAUUCGCGGUGUUCAGCCGUUUGAAAGUGGGCAAUAACAGGUCUGUGAUGCCCUUAGAUGUCCGGGGCUGCACGCGGGCUACACUGGCAAAACCAGCGUGCUUGUCCUGCCUCGAAGGAGGUGGGUAAACCCGGCAAAAUUUGCCGUGAUUGGGAUCGGAGAUUGCAAUUAUUUUCCGUGAACGAGGAAUUCCAAGUAAGUGCGAGUCAUCAGCUCGCGUUGAUUACGUCCCUGCCCUUUGUA